CCUACGGGAGGCAGCAGUGGGGAAUUUUGGACAAUGGGCGAAAGCCUGAUCCAGCAAUGCCGCGUGAGUGAAGAAGGCCUUCGGGUUGUAAAGCUCUUUUGUCAGGGAAGAAACGGUGAGAGCUAAUAUCUCUUGCUAAUGACGGUACCUGAAGAAUAAGCACCGGCUAACUACGUGCCAGCAGCCGCGGUAAUACGUAGGGUGCAAGCGUUAAUCGGAAUUACUGGGCGUAAAGCGUGCGCAGGCGGUUUUGUAAGUCUGAUGUGAAAUCCCCGGGCUCAACCUGGGAAUUGCAUUGGAGACUGCAAGGCUAGAAUCUGGCAGAGGGGGGUAGAAUUCCACGUGUAGCAGUGAAAUGCGUAGAUAUGUGGAGGAACACCGAUGGCGAAGGCAGCCCCCUGGGUCAAGAUUGACGCUCAUGCACGAAAGCGUGGGGAGCAAACAGGAUUAGAUACCCUGGUAGUCCACGCCCUAAACGAUGUCUACUAGUUGUCGGGUCUUAAUUGAUGUACGCAGCUACGCGUGAGUAGACCGCCGUGGGAGGUACGGUCGCGAGAAGUUAAACGUAACAAAUAGAAGUUAGUACGGACGUGAGACGUACGACCGAACGGACGGACCGACGAGGGGAGGGUUAGGGAGG
RNAcentral lists this ribosomal RNA (640 nucleotides) under uncultured bacterium. RNAcentral describes it as "bacterial SSU rRNA". The stretch from base 1 to 536 matches the Rfam family "Bacterial small subunit ribosomal RNA", at positions 338 to 873 of the family's 1533-position model. The record is from RNAcentral.